RNAcentral lists this long non-coding RNA (652 nucleotides) under Lepidothrix coronata (blue-crowned manakin). RNAcentral describes it as "lncRNA (ENSLCOG00000003836.1)". The record is from RNAcentral. Lineage: Eukaryota; Metazoa; Chordata; Aves; Passeriformes; Pipridae.
UCUAGAAUCAUUAUAUAUAUUAUAAGCAUAAAAUGAGUUUAAUGUAUGUGCUUUGAAAAGAAGGGGAAAACAGAAAAUCAGGGAAGACUGAUUUUAAUGCUGCUCAGAAUGAUUUUGAAAUUUUCUACUCAUCUUUGUUACUAACUGUGCAUUUUCCAUGAAAUUUAGGAAUGACAUGUACUGCUUUCAUCUCCUUAAAAUUAAUAUACUGCGCUCUCUGUUUUUCUCAGUUUCUUCAAAGUUCUUUUUAGAGCACUAUGCAAAGAAAGAGAAAGAAAUUCUCCACUCUGUGUGAACACAUCUGCUAUUAAUGCUGAGGGGAGUUAAGUGUCCGCUUCUACAGGAGAAUUCACCCCAGUGUUCUAUACUGAAAGAGGUUGGAACCUAAUUUAUCCAGAAGCUGGGGAGGACCUGAACUGGCUCUAGCAGUUCUGAAAGACCGAAAAAGCAACAGAACUUUCCUCUUAACAAAACUGGUACAUUCAAGGAGAAGCUGCAGGAAUCAGUCUAAGUUACCACUGAUGAUGAAAUGUCAAACCAUUCUGGCAGGCACUUGUUCAGUCUUAAGGAGCUUUAAAUUACUUCACAGCUUGAGAUUCCAGGUAAGUAGGGAUGUUCCAAGAUUUAGCCUAAUUGAUGCUUCUUGGGCAAU